This 253-nucleotide ribosomal RNA is filed under the name uncultured bacterium. Its description in RNAcentral is "partial 16S ribosomal RNA". It matches the Rfam family "Bacterial small subunit ribosomal RNA", at positions 524 to 776 of the family's 1533-position model. The record is from RNAcentral.
UACAGAGGGUGCGAGCGUUGUCCGGAAUCACUGGGCGUAAAGGGCGCGUAGGUGGCCUGGUAAGUCGGGGGUGAAAUCUCGCGGCUCAACUGCGAGGCUGCCUCCUAAACUGUCAGGCUCGAGCAGAGUAGAGGCAGGUGGAAUUCCCGGUGUAGCGGUGGAAUGCGUAGAGAUCGGGAAGAACAUCGGUGGCGAAGGCGAGUCCCUGGACAACACCUGACACUGAGGCACGAAAGCUAGGGGAGCAAACAGG